RNAcentral lists this ribosomal RNA (253 nucleotides) under uncultured bacterium. Its description in RNAcentral is "partial 16S ribosomal RNA". It matches the Rfam family "Bacterial small subunit ribosomal RNA", at positions 524 to 776 of the family's 1533-position model. The record is from RNAcentral.
UACGGGGGGGGCAAGCGUUGUUCGGAAUUACUGGGCGUAAAGGGUUCGUAGGUGGCUUGUUAAGUCAGACGUGAAAUCCCUCAGCUUAACUGGGGAACUGCGUCUGAGACUGGUGAGCUUGAGUGCAGGAGAGGAACGCGGAAUUCCAGGUGUAGCGGUGAAAUGCGUAGAUAUCUGGAAGAACACCGGUGGCGAAGGCGGUCAACUGGCCCUCAACUGACGCUGAGGCACGAAAGCGUGGGGAUCAAACAGG